Molecule: ribosomal RNA, 1407 nt
Filed under: Klebsiella pneumoniae
Lineage: Bacteria; Pseudomonadati; Pseudomonadota; Gammaproteobacteria; Enterobacterales; Enterobacteriaceae
Description: bacterial SSU rRNA
Rfam family: Bacterial small subunit ribosomal RNA
Source: RNAcentral
UGCAAGUCGAGCGGUAGCACAGAGAGCUUGCUCUCGGGUGACGAGCGGCGGACGGGUGAGUAAUGUCUGGGAAACUGCCUGAUGGAGGGGGAUAACUACUGGAAACGGUAGCUAAUACCGCAUAACGUCGCAAGACCAAAGUGGGGGACCUUCGGGCCUCAUGCCAUCAGAUGUGCCCAGAUGGGAUUAGCUGGUAGGUGGGGUAACGGCUCACCUAGGCGACGAUCCCUAGCUGGUCUGAGAGGAUGACCAGCCACACUGGAACUGAGACACGGUCCAGACUCCUACGGGAGGCAGCAGUGGGGAAUAUUGCACAAUGGGCGCAAGCCUGAUGCAGCCAUGCCGCGUGUGUGAAGAAGGCCUUCGGGUUGUAAAGCACUUUCAGCGGGGAGGAAGGCGGUGAGGUUAAUAACCUCAUCGAUUGACGUUACCCGCAGAAGAAGCACCGGCUAACUCCGUGCCAGCAGCCGCGGUAAUACGGAGGGUGCAAGCGUUAAUCGGAAUUACUGGGCGUAAAGCGCACGCAGGCGGUCUGUCAAGUCGGAUGUGAAAUCCCCGGGCUCAACCUGGGAACUGCAUUCGAAACUGGCAGGCUAGAGUCUUGUAGAGGGGGGUAGAAUUCCAGGUGUAGCGGUGAAAUGCGUAGAGAUCUGGAGGAAUACCGGUGGCGAAGGCGGCCCCCUGGACAAAGACUGACGCUCAGGUGCGAAAGCGUGGGGAGCAAACAGGAUUAGAUACCCUGGUAGUCCACGCUGUAAACGAUGUCGAUUUGGAGGUUGUGCCCUUGAGGCGUGGCUUCCGGAGCUAACGCGUUAAAUCGACCGCCUGGGGAGUACGGCCGCAAGGUUAAAACUCAAAUGAAUUGACGGGGGCCCGCACAAGCGGUGGAGCAUGUGGUUUAAUUCGAUGCAACGCGAAGAACCUUACCUGGUCUUGACAUCCACAGAACUUUCCAGAGAUGGAUUGGUGCCUUCGGGAACUGUGAGACAGGUGCUGCAUGGCUGUCGUCAGCUCGUGUUGUGAAAUGUUGGGUUAAGUCCCGCAACGAGCGCAACCCUUAUCCUUUGUUGCCAGCGGUCCGGCCGGGAACUCAAAGGAGACUGCCAGUGAUAAACUGGAGGAAGGUGGGGAUGACGUCAAGUCAUCAUGGCCCUUACGACCAGGGCUACACACGUGCUACAAUGGCAUAUACAAAGAGAAGCGACCUCGCGAGAGCAAGCGGACCUCAUAAAGUAUGUCGUAGUCCGGAUUGGAGUCUGCAACUCGACUCCAUGAAGUCGGAAUCGCUAGUAAUCGUAGAUCAGAAUGCUACGGUGAAUACGUUCCCGGGCCUUGUACACACCGCCCGUCACACCAUGGGAGUGGGUUGCAAAAGAAGUAGGUAGCUUAACCUUCGGGAGGGCGCUU